Pantherophis guttatus is the source of this 829-nucleotide long non-coding RNA. RefSeq lists it as uncharacterized. The record is from RefSeq and is a predicted model, not a curated record. Lineage: Eukaryota; Metazoa; Chordata; Lepidosauria; Squamata; Colubridae.
GGAAAGAAAAAAAAAGGGGGCUGAAAACAAGAGCGAGUACGCACUAGGAGGAGAAACCCCGGAGUCUAAUUCAACAGCAAACAUGCUGGAGGCAGUCUUACUGCCGCAUAGCGACUGUUUAUUAUCUAUUGUUAUCUAUCAAAAGUCUCCUGCGGGGGAUCAUAAAAGUCGCCUUGCAGAUACCGCGUCUCCUUUCCGUCUGAAGAUACUAUCUGCAUAUCUUGUCCAGACUUUUUUUUUUUUUUUUUUUUUAAACUCUGGCCAAAAGAAAACAAAAACAACCGGCUGAACUCACCACGGUCACCGGGGACACCAUGUUUGCCGAGGCGGCUUCUAUAGGACGCCGUGACGUCAUAAUGCUCGGAGCGAAUGUGCAGCGAGGGAAGAGAGAAGGGGGGGGGCGGUCCUGCAGCGAAUACGUCUCCGCCCCGCUCUCCUCCUACGAAGGGCUGCACUCGCUUGGGGCAUCUGACAAUCUGGUUUCAGCUUUCUAAUAGUCUACUGAAAUUGCCCUGGCAAAGAAUUUUGUCAUGGCACCUGUCCUUUGGAAUAACAUUUCCCCUCCAGAGAUUGGACCACCUGAAACUCUGGACAUUUUAAAACAAGUGUGGUAUAUUUUCCAAGCUUUAGGAUAAAUUGGUGCUGUGCCUGUCAGUAUGUAGUUUGCCUUGGUUAUAUUUGUUCCACCUAUGUUCUGCUCUAUGAUGUUAUUUGCCUGUUUUUAGGCAUUAUAUCAGUUUUAAUUGUAUGCCACCUAAUCUGUGCUGAGUUGGGCCACCUUUAUAAAGCUAUAUGAUAAAUAAAUAGCUUUUUGCGUCAAAUUAAAGUA